AGAGCGAACGCUGGCGGCAGGCCUAACACAUGCAAGUCGAACGGAUCCUUCGGGAUUAGUGGCAGACGGGUGAGUAACACGUGGGAACGUGCCUUUUGGUUCGGAACAACUCAGGGAAACUUGAGCUAAUACCGGAUGUGCCCUUCGGGGGAAAGAUUUAUCGCCAUUAGAGCGGCCCGCGUCUGAUUAGCUAGUUGGUGAGGUAAAGGCUCACCAAGGCUUCGAUCAGUAGCUGGUCUGAGAGGAUGAUCAGCCACACUGGGACUGAGACACGGCCCAGACUCCUACGGGAGGCAGCAGUGGGGAAUCUUGCGCAAUGGGCGAAAGCCUGACGCAGCCAUGCCGCGUGAAUGAUGAAGGUCUUAGGAUUGUAAAAUUCUUUCACCGGGGAAGAUAAUGACGGUACCCGGAGAAGAAGCCCCGGCUAACUUCGUGCCAGCAGCCGC
RNAcentral lists this ribosomal RNA (446 nucleotides) under uncultured bacterium. Its description in RNAcentral is "SSU rRNA". It matches the Rfam family "Bacterial small subunit ribosomal RNA", at positions 26 to 518 of the family's 1533-position model. The record is from RNAcentral.